AGAUUACGACAGAUGAGCGUGUUGAGUGGCUGCCAUCGUGCACUGAAGCUUUCCCCACGCAAGAAGCUCUUGUGGAAUGGAUAAAAGAAGGCGAGAAAAAGGUCGUAAUAGAUGAUGAGACAGAGUUCUGUACCAAGGACGUUCUUGAAGAUGUUAUCCAGUCUAAGAAUGUUUUUGAUAACCUUGAAAAUGACGAACUUCGACGUGCAAGGACACGGGCAAAUCCAUUGAAACUAUACGAGGUGGUUUCUUUCAGAACAGAUCUGCAAUGAA
Priapulus caudatus is the source of this 273-nucleotide long non-coding RNA. RefSeq lists it as uncharacterized. Lineage: Eukaryota; Metazoa; Priapulida; Priapulimorpha; Priapulimorphida; Priapulidae. The record is from RefSeq and is a predicted model, not a curated record. The transcript is spliced from 4 exons.